Molecule: ribosomal RNA, 179 nt
Filed under: Desulfobotulus mexicanus
Lineage: Bacteria; Pseudomonadati; Thermodesulfobacteriota; Desulfobacteria; Desulfobacterales; Desulfobacteraceae
Description: Desulfobotulus sp. PAR22N partial 23S ribosomal RNA
Rfam family: Bacterial large subunit ribosomal RNA
Source: RNAcentral
AAUAUUGUGGCUAAGCGAAUAAGGGCAGACGGUGGAUGCCUUGGUGCCAAGCGGCGAAGAAGGACGCGGUAAGCUGCGAUAAGCUUCGGGGAGGAGCUAAACAUCCUUUGAUCCGGAGAUUUCCGAAUGGGGAAACCCGUCACGGCUAAUGCCGUGUCAUCCGUAGGUGAAUACAUAGC